RNAcentral lists this ribosomal RNA (253 nucleotides) under uncultured bacterium. RNAcentral describes it as "partial 16S ribosomal RNA". It matches the Rfam family "Bacterial small subunit ribosomal RNA", at positions 524 to 776 of the family's 1533-position model. The record is from RNAcentral.
UACGUAGGUGGCAAGCGUUGUCCGGAAUUAUUGGGCGUAAAGCGCGCGCAGGCGGUCCUUUAAGUCUGAUGUGAAAGCCCACGGCUCAACCGUGGAUGGUCAUUGGAAACUGGGGGACUUGAGUACAGAAGAGGAAAGCGGAAUUCCACGUGUAGCGGUGAAAUGCGUAGAGAUGUGGAGGAACACCAGUGGCGAAGGCGGCUUUCUGGUCUGUAACUGACGCUGAGGCGCGAAAGCGUGGGGAGCAAACAGG